GAGUUUGAUCAUGGCUCAGGAUGAACGCUGGCGGCGUGCUUAACACAUGCAAGUCGAGCGAUGAAGUUUCCUUCGGGAAACGGAUUAGCGGCGGACGGGUGAGUAACACGUGGGUAACCUGCCUCAUAGAGUGGAAUAGCCUUCCGAAAGGAAGAUUAAUACCGCAUAACAUUGAAAGAUGGCAUCAUCAUUCAACCAAAGGAGAAAUCCGCUGAUAGAUGGGCUUGCGUCUGAUUAGAUAGUUGGUGUGGUAAC
RNAcentral lists this ribosomal RNA (255 nucleotides) under uncultured bacterium. Its description in RNAcentral is "partial 16S ribosomal RNA". It matches the Rfam family "Bacterial small subunit ribosomal RNA", at positions 9 to 261 of the family's 1533-position model. The record is from RNAcentral.